UUUUUUUGGAGCGAUUCUUCUGAUGUCUUGUUUGGGCCGGCCUUGAUUCGCGCGAGCAUCUCGCGUUUCUUUUUGUGGGCUGGGGUAGGUGAAGAGGAAGUGGCAGCCCCAUGGUAAUUAAGAGGAGGGGAUUGGCAGUUGUGAGUCCAUUUCAUCCUCUGUCUCUCUCUAUCCUUUCUCUGUGAAAAUCCGAAGAUCUCUGAAGCGAAUCGAAGAGAAAUCGCCGUGCUCCUCCACAGCCAACGAGAGGAUGGGCGACGCUGCGCUGAUGAGGAGAUGGUUUGCAGAGUUUGCCUGAGCCCUUGCUACCGCGAGAGCAGGUCAAGCGACAUUAGCAUAUUGUGCCAUGCAACGAAAGGAAUAGUUUCAACAACCUGACAGGAGAUACGCUGAAGUUUAAGGCAAACAAACGGGCGUACACCGUCAACUGCCACAAGGGGCCUAGAGAGAGUGCAAUGUAUGGGAGUGAGUGGAGGAAGUUUGUUUCAGACAACAAGUUGGGGAAGGGUCAGCUGGUUCUCUUCUACUUGGACCAGCCUUCCCCAAGGGCAGUUGUCUGUGUGAUUCAAUUCGGGAAUGACACUAAAGAUGAAGGAUCCAAGGAUGAUGAUGACUGCAUGGAAGUUCCAGAUGAAGAAGACGAGGAUGGAGAAGCCAACAAAAAACGAUGAUGACGACAUGAUUCGCACUAGGGUUCUUGAUCUGACUCAAGAAGAGGAAUCAGAUCUGGGAGGGCUCCUUCUGCUCAGCAAUGGGUUCAUAGGGUUGCCAUUUUGUGCACCGCCUCACGAGGACUGAUGUUUUUUUUGGGGAGCAUGAUUCUUACAGCGGAGCUCAUUUUCUCAAAAAAGGAGCAUAUUAAAGGAGAGAAGAGUUACUUGUCGAGAUCCUCGGACACAUUUUUAAUGUUGUUGUGAAGGAACGGAGUGACUAUAGACGGUGUGUUGCUGUUUUUUUAUUUUCCUUUAAGUCUCUGGAAUAUGGACCCAGGCUCAACAUCUUUCUAGAGGCCACCCAGCGGCACUGUUUGAAUUGAGAAAUGAGCAUAGACAAAGAGAGGAAACGAGAGAGGAAGGAAGCCGCAUCACGGGGGCGGGCACAUCAAAGUUUUCCGCGGCGGAAGUCGUCGGCGACAAGAUGCUCGGCGCCCCUCCAGACUCCUCGCGCCCUGCUGAUGAGGUAAGCUACAGCCCCUUUUCCCCUCUCUCCCCUCCAUCCCCCCAAAUUGUGCCCCCAUUUGCGUGUACACGGGGUGAAAUCAAGCUGCGGAUGUCAAUUUUCUAUAGUCUAGGGUUCGAUAAUCUGUUGAGAAUCACGAUUCCAAGAGGGAAUUGCAAGUCGAGAAGAGGGAUUUUUGGUGUUUUUCUGUGCUUUUUUGCGCGAAUCAUGAAUCUGAGACAGUGAAUUAGUGUUUGUCGGCUCGAGCUUGUACUUUUCUGUGGUCGGAGUGACUCUGGUUGGAUGGAUGGUUGUGCACAGCUGCCGCGACAGGAGGAUUCGCCAGCAGUUGUGCUGCUGUGCAUCUGGAUGGGGAACUGGCGGGGUCUGCCGUGAGGUGGUGGGCGCCGGUGGUACUGCCCGACGAAAAGGGGGCAGGGGCAGCGCGGCUGUCUUCUCCAUCGUCCACCGGCGCUGCCCUGGUCAGUGUACGUCCUGGACUCACCAGAUCCGGACCCAGGCCCCAUUCUCAUGGUUGGAAUUUGCACCCCGGACGCAUUCACAUUCACUCUUUUGAUCUGCACAUUUUUUGUUUUGGUAGGAGUACAUCUGAAUUUUAUGUGCUUGAUGAGAGUGUCAAUCUAAUUCUGUUCAUUGUCAGUAGACAUUCUGUGUUUGUGAAUUUACAAAGUAUCCAAGUUCACUGUUAGUAGACAUCUCUGAAUUACUUAAGCAACAUGCUUGUAAGUGGUCAGUCCUCCUGUAGUACUACCGUGCAAGUGAUCUGCACCUGUUAGUUGUUUGCGUGCACGUAUAUAUAUGAUGUAGCUACAGAAUUCCUAAUGCCAGUUUUUGAGACAUAUAUGGUGCCCCGACCCAUUCCCUGUUGUAUGUAUGUUUUUGGUGGCAUGAGGAUGCCACUGCUGCUAUUUUUUAAAUGUUUGAGUUAACUGAUGCAUACAGUUGAACAAGACUCUGUUUGAUUUCAUUCAGGUUGGCCUUAGUGAGGUGGUUUUUUGAUGUUUUUUGUAUAUGAAUACUUGAAAA
This is a non-coding RNA of Aegilops tauschii subsp. strangulata, 2205 nucleotides long. NCBI's taxonomy places the organism in Eukaryota, Viridiplantae, Streptophyta, Magnoliopsida, Poales, Poaceae. The record is from RefSeq and is a predicted model, not a curated record.